GGACUACCGGGGUUUCUAAUCCCGUUCGCUCCCCACGCUUUCGUGCCUCAGUGUCAGAACUAGCCCAGUCACCCGUCUUCACCACCGGCGUUCCUGACGAUAUCUACGCAUUUCACCGCUCCACCGUCAGUUCCAGUGACCUCUACUAGCCUCAAGUCCGCCAGUAUCCGAAGCAAUUCCUUGGUUGAGCCAAGGGCUUUCACAACAGACUUAACGGACCACCUACGCACCCUUUAAACCCAGUGAUUCUCAGUAACGCUUGGGGCCUCUGUAUUACCGCGGCUGCUGGCAC
This 292-nucleotide ribosomal RNA is filed under the name uncultured bacterium. RNAcentral's name for it is "partial 16S ribosomal RNA". The record is from RNAcentral. RNAcentral also lists the same sequence under 1 other name.